GACGAACGCUGGCGGCGUGCUUAACACAUGCAAGUCGAGCGGUAAGGCCCUUUCGGGGGUACACGAGCGGCGAACGGGUGAGUAACGCGUGGGUGACCUGCCCUCAGCUCUGGGAUAAGCCUGGGAAACUGGGUCUAAUACCGGAUACGACUCCAUGACGCAUGUUGUGGGGUGGAAAGCCUUGUGCGGCUGAGGAUGGGCCCGCGGCCUAUCAGCUUGUUGGUGGGGUGAUGGCCUACCAAGGCGACGACGGGUAGCCGGCCUGAGAGGGCGACCGGCCACACUGGGACUGAGACACGGCCCAGACUCCUACGGGAGGCAGCAGUGGGGAAUCUUGCGCAAUGGGCGAAAGCCUGACGCAGCGACGCCGCGUGAGGGAUGACGGCCU
This 388-nucleotide ribosomal RNA is filed under the name uncultured bacterium. RNAcentral's name for it is "bacterial SSU rRNA". It matches the Rfam family "Bacterial small subunit ribosomal RNA", at positions 28 to 417 of the family's 1533-position model. The record is from RNAcentral.